RNAcentral lists this ribosomal RNA (512 nucleotides) under Vibrio sp. BTTV30. Its description in RNAcentral is "bacterial SSU rRNA". It matches the Rfam family "Bacterial small subunit ribosomal RNA", at positions 54 to 547 of the family's 1533-position model. Lineage: Bacteria; Pseudomonadati; Pseudomonadota; Gammaproteobacteria; Vibrionales; Vibrionaceae. The record is from RNAcentral.
CAUGCAGUCGAGCGGAACGAGUUAUCUGAACCUUCGGGGAACGAUAACGGCGUCGAGCGGCGGACGGGUGAGUAAUGCCUAGGAAAUUGCCCUGAUGUGGGGGAUAACCAUUGGAAACGAUGGCUAAUACCGCAUGAUGCCUACGGGCCAAAGAGGGGGACCUUCGGGCCUCUCGCGUCAGGAUAUGCCUAGGUGGGAUUAGCUAGUUGGUGAGGUAAGGGCUCACCAAGGCGACGAUCCCUAGCUGGUCUGAGAGGAUGAUCAGCCACACUGGAACUGAGACACGGUCCAGACUCCUACGGGAGGCAGCAGUGGGGAAUAUUGCACAAUGGGCGCAAGCCUGAUGCAGCCAUGCCGCGUGUAUGAAGAAGGCCUUCGGGUUGUAAAGCACUUUCAGCCGUGAGGAAGGUGGUGUAGUUAAUAGCUGCAUUAUUUGACGUUAGCUGCAGAAGAAGCACCGGCUAACUCCGUGCCAGCAGCCGCGGUAAUACGGAGGGUGCGAGCGUUAAUCG